CGGGAUAAUAUAUUUGAGAGGCAUCUCUUGAAUAUCAAAGGUGAGCCAGUACAGGAUGGACCCGCGUCUGAUUAGCUAGUUGGUAAGGUAACGGCUUACCAAGGCAACGAUCAGUAGCCGACCUGAGCGGGUGAUCGGCCACAUUGGAACUGAGACACGGUCCAAACUCCUACGGGAGGCAGCAGUGGGGAAUAUUGCACAAUGGGCGAAAGCCUGAUGCAGCAACGCCGCGU
RNAcentral lists this ribosomal RNA (233 nucleotides) under Clostridioides difficile. RNAcentral describes it as "partial 16S ribosomal RNA". It matches the Rfam family "Bacterial small subunit ribosomal RNA", at positions 169 to 402 of the family's 1533-position model. Lineage: Bacteria; Bacillati; Bacillota; Clostridia; Peptostreptococcales; Peptostreptococcaceae. The record is from RNAcentral.